RNAcentral lists this long non-coding RNA (2787 nucleotides) under Marmota monax (woodchuck). The stretch from base 2634 to 2702 matches the Rfam family "tRNA". Lineage: Eukaryota; Metazoa; Chordata; Mammalia; Rodentia; Sciuridae. The record is from RNAcentral.
CGUGGGUUCAAUCCCUGGUACCAAAAAAGAAAAAAAACCCACAAAAAUCUUUGUACUAAAUGAGGAUGGGGACAGUUCAUAGACCUCGAGCCAGCCUUCAACUUCUCUGAUUAUUUCAAGCGCCUCAUUACCAGUUGGCCAAUCAUCUGGCUUUAGCUUGUUUUCCUCCUAAUGGUUUGAUGUGUACCUCUUGAUUUCUUCUUGUCUCCUGAUGAACCGAUCCUGGUAAGUAUGUUCCAGGAGAUGCUGGCUUUGCUGAAUCUCAUUCCUACACACAUCAUCUCAUCGUCAUCAUCAUCAUCAUCAUCAUUAUCAUUGUUCUCAUCAUCAUGCUCAAGGCUUUUGAUCAGUCUAGUCCUAGUUUCGCAGCCAUUUCAGUCACAAAGACUCGCAUAAUAGGAGUCUUGUUUAGAGGUUCACCACGUGCAGAUGUGCAGGUUGUUCACUGGACAAGAGUGGCAGGUUGGGAGAGCUAGUCACUGGAGUAGAAAUCUAGCUCAUGCUUUCCUCUUCGUCCUAGGUACCAGGGCCCACGGCUGGUUCUUCUUAGAAGAAUGGAUGUCUUUCUCUAACUCACCCAAAUACAGUGUGUGGGACACUGGCAGUCCUGCCUUAUUAGCAGUGGCACAGCAGAAUUAGAAGCCUGAUUUAUCUGAGGAUCAAACACCAGGGGGUCCUGCUCUGGUUUUGUAUCACUGGUUACCUCAUGUCUUCUUUCUCCUCAGUGAACAAAACUGUAAUAUUCCUGGGGCAGCAUUGGCUUAGAAGGAUGAGCACUUUCCCUGUGGAUCAGAGGAGCAUGUCAGGGGACAGCCAGGCAGAAGCUCUGCUGAGGGCUGGGCCUUUCUGGAUGACCAUAGAGGGGGCUGUCUGGGAGUGUACGCCAAGCAACUGGGGGUGCUCGUUCCAUGACCAAGUAGAGGUGAGCCUGGGGAGUUGGCUUCUCAGUCCCUGGGGAAGGAAGCCAUGUGACAGGCUGGGAAUCAACUCCCAGCAUCUAGAGGGGUUUCCUGAUCCAACCCCGUUCCUGCCGUCGUCCAGUUUCAGCAGAAGGUUCAGUGGCUGCAUUUCCCACAUUGUUUUCACAUAAAACACAGCAGAUUGGAGUCUUGGAGGAGGCUUAUUGUGUUUCCUGAGAAGCUAACAGAAGGUUGGUAGCCUUUUUGCUCAAAACUGUAGCAUUUCUCUAUCCUCAAACUCUCUUCGAAGUGUGAAUGAUUUGAAAAUAGCUGAGGGAAAGCAGGUAGAAUUACACUGGCUUCCGUGGGCUGGGCCUUUGUUGUUCUCUCACUCCAGGCAGAACACGUAACCACCUCAGAGGUUCAACUCACCAAUCCCACCAGCAUUUAUGAGCGUGUCUUACACUGGGUACAGUUCCACGCCUGGGAGUACAGAAACACAGCCCUUUCCCCUGGUGGAGCGGAUUUGCUUUAAGGAAAGCAUGUCUUACACUCUACGAACAUUCUGGCAAAAUAAAAAUUUAAAAAUUCAUCUUUUGAAGAAAAGGAAAUGAGUCCCCUAAUCCCACCUCCCUAGCAUAACAUGACUUUCAUUUUUGUGUGUCCCUUUUUUAUCAUCUUUGUUUUUAAAGAUCCCUAAAGAAGUCGUUCUGAUGCUUUAUCUUCAUCACAUCAGUAAGGUUUUGAGGCAAAAAAAAUCUCUUAAGCUGUAAAUGCUUCCCAUUAGCUAAUCCAGAAUCCCUUCCGUGACCAACAUGGCUGUGGGCAAUGGCGCUCCCAGGGCGGCUCUGAUUUCAUCUCCUGCCUUUCUGCUCAUUCCUGGCAGCCUUCCUGGGGUUCUUUGCCCACAGCAGCUGGAUCCUACCUCAGAGCCUGAGAACGUGCUCUCCGGUGUCUGGAAGGCUUCCCCUGAGAGUCACCACUUCAUUCCUGUAUCUGCUCAACUUUAUCUCCUUAGAGACACUUUCUCCGGCAUCUUCUCUUUCUCUCUAUUCCUUCAUCCAAAGCUAAAUAUCUUCAUGGCACCAAUGACCCCCUCCCUUUGAAAUGAGUCACCUGAGGCCUUUGGUCCCCUCACUGCCAUAUCCCCCUCGAGCAGUAGUGGGCCGAUGAGAGGUGCAUCUCCCUGCUGAAUGAUGCUUAUCCUUCAGCCUCAACAGAGGUGGUGAGGACCUGUCUGCUUUCCUCGGGAUAACAUUCUUUCAGAGAUGAGUCAAUCUCUGAUAGGCACAUUAACUUGCAGGGCCUUGGGAUUAAAGGUGUGGGGACUACUCUGCUAUAUGUGGGUGAUUUGAGUCCAGCCUCUUGCUACAAGCAGGCUCCCCUGUUUCUGUUCUGAUGAGCAGCUCCCUGUCAUUCCUGCAGCCUGCAUCUGAGGCCUGCUGGGAAGGGCUGGUUGUACUUGGUUGGCCGAACCCUUCUCUUUCCUGAGAAUCUUAUUCUGUGCUCCCUUUACCUGCUCAGUGUCAGACAGCUGGAUGGCUGAGAUUUUUCCACUGUCUUCCAUCAGCACAAACUGGAAUGGCAGAAUUCUCUUGGUCACCAGCAUGUCCAUUGUUCAUUGACAUCCGCCACAACAUCCCCAUAUGAUGUGGCCAUAUCCCAUCUAUCCUUUACCAGCUUAUGGAGAAAUGUAAAAAGACUUCAUUUAAAAAGGAACAGGAAGUUGGGGCUGGGGUUGUGGCUCAGCGGUAGAGCGCUCAUCUCACGUGUGCGAGGUCCUGGGUUCUAUCCUCAGCACCACAUAAAAAUACAUAGAUAAAAUAAAGAUCAUGUUCAACUACCACUAAAAAAUAAAUUAAAAAAAAAAAGGAACAGGAAGUUGGUG